Non-coding RNA from Podarcis lilfordi (Lilford's wall lizard), 89 nucleotides. The record is from the annotation of a GenBank genome assembly. Lineage: Eukaryota; Metazoa; Chordata; Lepidosauria; Squamata; Lacertidae.
AAGUCACAGACUGAGAAAUCUCUGCAGGCAAAUGUGAUGGCAUGACAGCGAUCUCACAGCUACCUGUAGAGGUUCCGCGAUCUGGAGGC